This 545-nucleotide ribosomal RNA is filed under the name uncultured bacterium. Its description in RNAcentral is "bacterial SSU rRNA". It matches the Rfam family "Bacterial small subunit ribosomal RNA", at positions 338 to 874 of the family's 1533-position model. The record is from RNAcentral.
CCUACGGGAGGCAGCAGUAGGGAAUCUUCCGCAAUGGACGAAAGUCUGACGGAGCAACGCCGCGUGAGCGAUGAAGGCCUUCGGGUCGUAAAGCUCUGUUGUCAGGGAAGAACAAGUAUCGGAGUAACUGCCGGUACCUUGACGGUACCUGACCAGAAAGCCACGGCUAACUACGUGCCAGCAGCCGCGGUAAUACGUAGGUGGCAAGCGUUGUCCGGAAUUAUUGGGCGUAAAGCGCGCGCAGGCGGUUCCUUAAGUCUGAUGUGAAAGCCCCCGGCUCAACCGGGGAGGGUCAUUGGAAACUGGGGGACUUGAGUACAGAAGAGGAAAGCGGAAUUCCACGUGUAGCGGUGAAAUGCGUAGAGAUGUGGAGGAACACCAGUGGCGAAGGCGGCUUUCUGGUCUGUAACUGACGCUGAGGCGCGAAAGCGUGGGGAGCAAACAGGAUUAGAUACCCUGGUAGUCCACGCCGUAAACGAUGGGCACUAGGUGUUGGAGGUAUCGACCCCUCCAGUGCCGCAGCUAACGCAUUAAGUGCCCCGCCU